Bison bison bison is the source of this 120-nucleotide ribosomal RNA. The record is from Ensembl. NCBI's taxonomy places the organism in Eukaryota, Metazoa, Chordata, Mammalia, Artiodactyla, Bovidae.
GUCUCAGGCCGUAUCAGCCUGAAGGCGCCCGAUCUCGUCGGAUCUCGGAAGCUAAGCAGGGUCGGGCCUGGUUAGUAUCUUGGAUGGGAGACCACCUGGGAAUCCCGGGUGCUCGAGGCU